Molecule: non-coding RNA, 445 nt
Organism: Prunus mume (Japanese apricot)
Lineage: Eukaryota; Viridiplantae; Streptophyta; Magnoliopsida; Rosales; Rosaceae
Source: RefSeq, a predicted model, not a curated record
AUAUGGUUGCGGGCAUUCACUUCACUAACUGCUCCAAAGUCCAGUUCGCCAUGAAUCCGUAUCAUUGCUCAGCUCAGCAGCUCUUCUGUCUCAACCGUCAAUUUGGUGAACAACCUUGGUACCAUUGCAAGGUCUAGCACCAAGGAAUUUAUGGAAGCCUUGGCUGCUGGUGCAGAUCUUGUUGUAGAUAAGGUCAUUGUUACUACCAAGCACAAUGAUGAUGAGCAGUAUGUGUGGGAGUCGCUCUGAUUCAAUGUUUAUGGUAUGUGGAGUGAUGAAGGAUCAAUUAAUUAUGUAAAUGAAAUGAUGUAAUUGAUUUUGAGUGGUAUGAAGUUGUACACUUUUAUCGUACCGAUUAUGUAAAUGAAAUGAUGUAGUUGUUAACUUCCAGUAAGUGGUAUGAACAGUAUAAUAACUGUUCAUACCCUGUAACUGAGUUGAUUUU